UGUCUCAAAAAAAACUAAAAAAAAAAAAAAAGAAAUCACUGAAAAUGCAGACAGAAGUUCCCAGGGGGAGCAUUUUCAAAUAGACCCAGGGAUCUGCAUCCUAAACAGGACUGGCAUGAGGAGCGUAUUUAGUGUUAAUCCUGAUUCAGUUUUGCUUAUGUUUUUUUUUUUUUGUAGUGUUGGCUUUUAGAAAUUGAUAUUUAAAAAAAAACAUCAUGAUGAAGUCAUUUAAUAUGAAUUUGUAGUGACUCAAACUUAUGGUGCUGAAGAAUCUUAAAAUUCUGUUUAGUGAAGCCAGGGGUUCCACCAUGUCUGAUUUCCCACCACUGCUGACACCAUGAAAUAUUUAUCAAGGAUUCAAUAUUGUUUCCUUCAGACCUGAAAAUAUGCUAAAUUCAGCAAUGAUUUAAAUGUAUUGUUAUUCUUUUGUGCAAAGGGAAUAAUAGGACAUAUCUAUGAAAAUAAUAAAACUCACUUUUAAUAAACAUACCAGAAUUUUAACAUGUACUUGGUUUUAACUAUUAAAAUUUCCCCUUUUAGAGACAUAUUUGAUGUUUCUUCAUCCAAAAUGCUUGUGAUGCCUUGAAAGCCACAAUCUGUCCCACUGGCCAGCUGAACAAGUUUCAGCCCCAGCCAUAAGCCUGUGUUUGGUGGCUAUGAUUGAUGCUCAGCUCACACUGUCCACAUUUUCUCCCUCAUGCAUCAUCAUCAGGCCCCUCCAACACGACCGUCCUGGAGCUGUUCUACUUUCUGAUUCUUGGCUUUUCCUGGUGAUUCAUGAGACAGAGUAGUAAAAAGAAAAAAAAAAAAUCUCACCUUGGCUUUUCACAAUGUAUCAUCCUCUGUGAGAAUUCUAGUUUUGUUCAUCAGAUUCAUGCAAAUGUAAUAUUGAUUGACAGUGAUGUAUAUAGAUCCACAUGCACAAUGUGCUACACAGAAACCACUAAAAUGUUCUAUUAACGGCAGAACACAUACUGAUUAUAAACUACUUUGCAAUUGA
Molecule: non-coding RNA, 1000 nt
Organism: Peromyscus maniculatus bairdii (prairie deer mouse)
Lineage: Eukaryota; Metazoa; Chordata; Mammalia; Rodentia; Cricetidae
Source: RefSeq, a predicted model, not a curated record